This 73-nucleotide transfer RNA is filed under the name Streptomyces drozdowiczii. RNAcentral describes it as "tRNA-Leu". It matches the Rfam family "tRNA". Rfam says of the family: Transfer RNA (tRNA) molecules are approximately 80 nucleotides in length. Their secondary structure includes four short double-helical elements and three loops (D, anti-codon, and T loops). Further hydrogen bonds mediate the characteristic L-shaped molecular structure. tRNAs have two regions of fundamental functional importance: the anti-codon, which is responsible for specific mRNA codon recognition, and the 3' end, to which the tRNAs corresponding amino acid is attached (by aminoacyl-tRNA synthetases). tRNAs cope with the degeneracy of the genetic code in two manners: having more than one tRNA (with a specific anti-codon) for a particular amino acid; and 'wobble' base-pairing, i.e. permitting non-standard base-pairing at the 3rd anti-codon position. The record is from RNAcentral. RNAcentral also lists the same sequence under 5 other names. Lineage: Bacteria; Bacillati; Actinomycetota; Actinomycetes; Kitasatosporales; Streptomycetaceae.
GCCCUGGUAGUCCAGCGGAAGAGACACGGUUCUCAAACAACCGACAGCGUGGGUUCGAAUCCCACCCAGGGCA